CCUACGGGAGGCAGCAGUGAGGGAUAUUGGGCAAUGGGCGCAAGCCUGACCCAGCGACGCCGCGUGGGCGAAGAAGGCCUUCGGGUCGUAAAGCCCUUUUCCACCUGACGAGGAAGGACGGUAGGGUGGGAAGAAGUCACGGCUAACUACGUGCCAGCAGCCGCGGUAAAACGUAGGUGGCGAGCGUUAUCCGGAAUCACUGGGCGUAAAGGGCAUCUAGGCGGCCGGGUAAGUCGCGUGUGAAAGCCCCUGGCUCAACUGGGGGAGGACAUGCGAGACUGCCGGGCUUGAGGGUCAGAGAGGGACGCGGAAUUCCCGGUGUAGUGGUGAAGUGCGUAGAGAUCGGGAGGAACACCCGUAGCGAAGGCGGCGUCCUGGCUGACCCCUGACGCUGAAGUGCGAAAGCGUGGGGAGCGAACGGGAUUAGAUACCCCGGUAGUCCACGCUGUAAACGAUGGUGACUAGGUGUGGGAGGCGAAAAACCCUUCCGUGCCGCAGCUAACGCGAUAAGUCACCCGCCUGGGGACUACGGCCGCAAGGCUAAAACUCAAAGGAAUUGACGG
RNAcentral lists this ribosomal RNA (563 nucleotides) under uncultured bacterium. Its description in RNAcentral is "bacterial SSU rRNA". It matches the Rfam family "Bacterial small subunit ribosomal RNA", at positions 338 to 916 of the family's 1533-position model. The record is from RNAcentral.